GACGAACGCUGGCGGUGUGCUUAACACAUGCAAGUCGAACGGUAAGGCCCUUUCGGGGGUACACGAGUGGCGAACGGGUGAGUAACACGUGAGUAACCUGCCUUCAUCUCUGGGAUAACAGUCGGAAACGGUUGCUAAUACUGGAUAUGAGCUUGCAAGGCAUCUUGUGGGUUGGAAAGAUUCUUUUUGGUUGGGGAUGGACUCGCGGCCUAUCAGCUUGUUGGUGAGGUAGUGGCUCACCAAGGCUUCGACGGGUAGCCGGCCUGAGAGGGCGACCGGCCACAUUGGGACUGAGAUACGGCCCAAACUCCUACGGGAGGCAGCAGUGGGGAAUAUUGCACAAUGGACGGAAGUCUGAUGCAGCAACGCCGCGUGCGGGAUGACGGCCUUCGGGUUGUAAACCGCUUUCAAUUGUGACGAAGCUUUUUUGUGACGGUAGCAGUAGAAGAAGCACCGGCUAACUACGUG
Molecule: ribosomal RNA, 468 nt
Filed under: uncultured bacterium
Lineage: Bacteria
Description: partial 16S ribosomal RNA
Rfam family: Bacterial small subunit ribosomal RNA
Source: RNAcentral